CUUUACUGACGCUAAAGCUCGAAGGUGCGGGUAUCGAACAGGAUUAGAUACCCUGGUAGUCCGCACGGUAAACGAUGGAUGCCCGCUGUUUGCGAUAUACUGUGAGCGGCCAAGAGAAAUCGUUAAAGCAUCCCACCUGGGGAGUACGCCGGCAACGGUGAAACUCAAAGGAAUUGACGGGGGCCCGCACAAGCGGAGGAACAUGUGGUUUAAUUCGAUGAUACGCGAGGAACCUUACCCGGGCUUGAACUGCAGGAGAAGGAUGCAGAGAUGUUGACGCCCUUCGGGGCUCCUGUGGAGGUGCUGCAUGGUUGUCGUCAGCUCGUGCCGUGAGGUGUCGGCUUAAGUGCCAUAACGAGCGCAACCCUUUUCUUCAGUUGCCAUCAGGUGAUGCUGGGCACUCUGGAGACACUGCCACCGUAAGGUGUGAGGAAGGUGGGGAUGACGUCAAAUCAGCACGGCCCCUACGUCCGGGGCUACACACGUGUUACAAUGGGUGGUACAGAGAGUCGGUCGUCUGCAAAUGCGAUCCAAUCCUUAAAGCCAUCCUCAGUUCGGAUUGGGGUCUGCAACCCGACCCCAUGAAGCUGGAUUCGCUAGU
Molecule: ribosomal RNA, 601 nt
Filed under: uncultured bacterium
Lineage: Bacteria
Description: bacterial SSU rRNA
Rfam family: Bacterial small subunit ribosomal RNA
Source: RNAcentral